Molecule: ribosomal RNA, 253 nt
Filed under: uncultured bacterium
Lineage: Bacteria
Description: partial 16S ribosomal RNA
Rfam family: Bacterial small subunit ribosomal RNA
Source: RNAcentral
UACAUAGACCUCAAGCGUUAUCCGGAUUUACUGGGCGUAAAGCGUGCGUAGGCGUUUCGUUAAGUCUCUAGUGAAAGCCCUCGGCUCAACUGAGGAAUUGUUAGAGAUACGGGCAGGCUAGAGUUCGGUAGGGGAGACUGGAAUUCCUGGUGUAGCGGUGAAAUGCGCAGAUAUCAGGAGGAACACCGGUGGCGAAGGCGGGUCUCUGGGCCGAUACUGACGCUGAGGAGCGAAAGCGUGGGGAGCGAACAGG